This 1057-nucleotide long non-coding RNA is filed under the name Fukomys damarensis (Damara mole-rat). Its description in RNAcentral is "lncRNA (ENSFDAG00000030792.1)". Lineage: Eukaryota; Metazoa; Chordata; Mammalia; Rodentia; Bathyergidae. The record is from RNAcentral.
GGCUAUCUCCCAAGUUUCUUAAGAACUGUAAGAUAAUCCAUAAAAUAUUUUUCUGGAUGAGUUAAAAUGCUGCUUUUGAAGUUUAAACUGCAGUUUUUAAUUUGAAUUUAGGCUCCUAAAAUGAGGCGGAAGUCUCUUUUUCAUGUGUGUUGAGAUCAUCGACCUCAUAAAGUCGGGACCACUGUGUGGUAUAGAUGCAAAAGCGCGGUGUAAGGACAAGAAGAUAGCAGGAAUGUGGAGAGGAACAGGAGACCCAGGUACAGCCUUGUGGAGAGCCACGUCACACACGGAGAGACCUCGGCAUUAUGCAGCAAGGCUGCGGAAUGAGUCGGGGAAGAGGAAGCCAUUUGUACCAAAACUAAGCGCAAGUCUGCUGGCGCACACAUUGGGGAGUGAAGACCCAAAAUGAAGGCAGGUAUUUUAUCCUCGGGAGCAUAAACAACUGGUUAAAAGUAAGCUGGAGAAGCCAGAAGGGAUGCCAGAGGCUGGGUGGUUAGAUAGGGGUCAGUUUGUGGGGAAGACAGAGGAAAACGAGAAGGUCCACUUUCGCCUCCCGCGAACUCUUCGUUCCGCUCUGUGACUACGAAUGAACGGUCGGUCCACUCAUCGCCUCUCACCUACCUAAGGACGAUUCUUCAGAAACUCUUCCUUCCUGCGUCAAACUCCCGAUCUCCCCGCUGCAGUGUGCGUUGCAGCAGCAGGAGUGCGCUGUCCCAUAGCGCUCUCUCCUGCCAGUGGUCGUCCUCCGUCCCUGGCCCGUUCCUCUUCGCCACUUCCUGGCAUGUGGUGUUAAAAAGAAGCUUUGCGUCCUCCCACUAACCCUCCCACUGUUCGAGUGUGGCUGUAGCCAAUGAGAUGUCACCCCACUGUUAAAUUAAAAUCUAUUUUCAGUUCCUGUCUUAUUUAAUCAAUCAGCAGCACAGCACUAUCCAUAUUAAAAACACUGUUUGGUGGGGGUACAGUUGUUCUCGGUCUGUCUGUCUUAUCUGUGAUUCGUUCUUGCCUUCUUCUGUUGGCUCCCUCUGACCCACAAGGAGUGAUGGAAAAAUAAGGGGUG